This 66-nucleotide transfer RNA is filed under the name Tricholepidion gertschi. Its description in RNAcentral is "tRNA-Leu". It matches the Rfam family "tRNA". From Rfam's summary of the family: Transfer RNA (tRNA) molecules are approximately 80 nucleotides in length. Their secondary structure includes four short double-helical elements and three loops (D, anti-codon, and T loops). The record is from RNAcentral. Lineage: Eukaryota; Metazoa; Arthropoda; Insecta; Zygentoma; Lepidotrichidae.
UCAAGAAUGGCAGAAAAGUGCCAUGGACUUAAGAUCCAUAAAUAAAGGUUAUUCCUUUUUCUAGAA